GGGUAUGUGGCUUAAUGGUAGAGAGCUUGCCUAGCAGGCACAAGGAUCUGGGUUCAAUCCCAGCAAACGCG
Molecule: non-coding RNA, 71 nt
Organism: Ictidomys tridecemlineatus (thirteen-lined ground squirrel)
Lineage: Eukaryota; Metazoa; Chordata; Mammalia; Rodentia; Sciuridae
Source: Rfam